RNAcentral lists this unclassified non-coding RNA (365 nucleotides) under uncultured Chaetosphaeriaceae. RNAcentral's name for it is "sequence contains ITS2". The stretch from base 1 to 154 matches the Rfam family "5.8S ribosomal RNA". The record is from RNAcentral. Lineage: Eukaryota; Fungi; Ascomycota; Sordariomycetes; Chaetosphaeriales; Chaetosphaeriaceae.
AACUUUUGGCAAUGGAUCACUUGGUUCUGGCAUCGAGGAAGAACGCAGCGAAAUGCGAUAAGUAAUGCGAAUUGCAGAAUUCCGUGAGUCAUCGAAUCUUUGAACGCACAUUGCGCCCGCCAGCAUUCUGGCGUGCAUGCCUGUUCGAGCGGCAUUUCAACCCUCAGGCCCUGCCUGGCGUUGGAGGACUGCGCACGCAGCCUCCCAAAGAGAGCGGCGGCGGCGCCCCGAAACCGAACGCAGUAGUUACUUCUCGUUCUGGGUCCGGGUCGUUGUCCUGCCGGAAAACCCCCCUCUAAUCAAUGGUUGACCUCGAAUCAGGUAGGAAUACCCGCUGAACUUAAGCAUAUCAAUAAGCGGAGGCU